GGCGUGCUUAACACAUGCAAGUCGAACGGUGAAGGGGCCUGCUUUUGUGGGUCCUGGAUGAGUGGCGAACGGGUGAGUAACACGUGAGUAACCUGCCCCCUUCUUCUGGAUAACCGCAUGAAAGUGUGGCUAAUACGGGAUAUUCUGGGUCUGUCGCAUGGUGGGCCUGGGAAAGAUUGCGCCUUUUUUGGUGUUUUUGGUGGGGGAUGGGCUCGCGGCCUAUCAGCUUGUUGGUGGGGUGAUGGCCUACCAAGGCGGUGACGGGUAGCCGGCCUGAGAGGGUGGACGGUCACACUGGGACUGAGACACGGCCCAGACUCCUACGGGAGGCAGCAGUGGGGAAUAUUGCACAAUGGGCGCAAGCCUGAUGCAGCGACGCCGCGUGAGGGAUGGAGGCCUUCGGGUUGUGAACCUCUUUCGCCAGUGAAGCAGGCCUGCCUCGUUUGUGGGUGGGUUGACGGUAGCUGGAUAAGAAGCGCCGGCUAACUACGUGCCAGCAGCCGCGGUAAUA
RNAcentral lists this ribosomal RNA (511 nucleotides) under Actinomyces naeslundii. RNAcentral describes it as "bacterial SSU rRNA". It matches the Rfam family "Bacterial small subunit ribosomal RNA", at positions 41 to 525 of the family's 1533-position model. The record is from RNAcentral. Lineage: Bacteria; Bacillati; Actinomycetota; Actinomycetes; Actinomycetales; Actinomycetaceae.